CCUACGGGAGGCAGCAGUAGGGAAUCUUCCACAAUGGGCGAAAGCCUGAUGGAGCAACGCCGCGUGGGUGAAGAAGGUCUUCGGAUCGUAAAACCCUGUUGUUAGAGAAGAAAGUGCGUGAGAGUAACUGUUCACGUGUCGACGGUAUCGAACCAGAAAGCCACGGCUAACUACGUGCCAGCAGCCGCGGUAAUACGUAGGUGGCAAGCGUUAUCCGGAUUUAUUGGGCGUAACGGGAACGCAGGCGGUCUUUUAAGUCUGAUGUGAAAGCCUUCGGCUUAACCGGAGUAGUGCAUUGGAAACUGGGAGACUUGAGUGCAGCAGAGGGGAUUGGAACUCCAUUUGUAGCCGUGACAUGCGUAUAUAUAUGGAAGAACACCAGUGGCGAACGCGGCUCUCUGGUCUGUACCUGCCGCUGCGGUUCGACAGCGUGGGUAGCAAACAGGAUUAGAUACCCUGGUAGUC
This 465-nucleotide ribosomal RNA is filed under the name uncultured bacterium. RNAcentral's name for it is "partial 16S ribosomal RNA". It matches the Rfam family "Bacterial small subunit ribosomal RNA", at positions 338 to 795 of the family's 1533-position model. The record is from RNAcentral.